AACGAACGCUGGCGGCAGGCCUAACACAUGCAAGUCGAACGCCGUAGCAAUACGGAGUGGCAGACGGGUGAGUAACGCGUGGGAACAUACCCCUCGGUUCGGAAUAACUCAGGGAAACUUGAGCUAAUACCGGAUACGUCCGAGGUUUUAAUCGACCUUGGAGAAAGAUUUAUCGCCGGAGGAUUGGCCCGCGUCUGAUUAGCUUGUUGGUGAGGUAAUGGCUCACCAAGGCGACGANCAGUAGCUGGUCUGAGAGGAUGAUCAGCCACAUUGGGACUGAGACACGGCCCAAACUCCUACGGGAGGCAGCAGUGGGGAAUAUUGGACAAUGGGCGAAAGCCUGAUCCAGCCAUGCCGCGUGAGUGAUGAAGGCCUUAGGGUUGUAAAGCUCUUUACCCGGGAAGAUAAUGACGGUACCGGGAGAAUAAGCCCCGG
Molecule: ribosomal RNA, 435 nt
Filed under: uncultured bacterium
Lineage: Bacteria
Description: bacterial SSU rRNA
Rfam family: Bacterial small subunit ribosomal RNA
Source: RNAcentral